RNAcentral lists this ribosomal RNA (253 nucleotides) under uncultured bacterium. RNAcentral's name for it is "partial 16S ribosomal RNA". It matches the Rfam family "Bacterial small subunit ribosomal RNA", at positions 524 to 776 of the family's 1533-position model. The record is from RNAcentral.
UACGAAGGGGGCUAGCGUUGCUCGGAAUUACUGGGCGUAAAGCGCACGUAGGCGGCUUUCUAAGUCGGAGGUGAAAUCCUGGAGCUCAACUCCAGAACUGCCUUCGAUACUGGAGAGCUUGAGUCCGGGAGAGGUGAGUGGAACUGCGAGUGUAGAGGUGAAAUUCGUAGAUAUUCGCAAGAACACCAGUGGCGAAGGCGGCUCACUGGCCCGAUACUGACGCUGAUGCACGAAAGCGUGGGGAGCAAACAGG